This is a long non-coding RNA of Oryza brachyantha (malo sina), 805 nucleotides long. RefSeq lists it as uncharacterized. Lineage: Eukaryota; Viridiplantae; Streptophyta; Magnoliopsida; Poales; Poaceae. The record is from RefSeq and is a predicted model, not a curated record. The transcript has 5 exons.
AAAAAAAAUAAGAAAAACGCACGCACGCCCGAAGUAAAAACGAAAAAAAAUAGAAACGACGCACGCGCCUCACGCACACAAGCGCCGCCGCACGUCCUGCUCAACCCCGCCGCCGCCGCUCACCCUCCCUUCCUGCCGCCACCGGUCGCCCCCCUCCUCUCGCCCGCCUCCCCGCCGCCAUCACUCCGUGGACGCAGAUCAGGAAACGAGGCGCAGGGAGGGAGCAAUGGUGGUGGAGGGGAAUGGCCGCGCCGUUAAGAUCACCCAUUGGUGUCUGCAUCAUGGAGAAGAAGAUUCUUGAGAGGCUCCGCGCAUUUGGAGAAUUCGAGGUGUUAUGCAAUACAGAGGGCCUAGCGGCAAAAUCAAUGGAAUCUGGGCCAAACAAAGAUCAUGCCGCCUUUCAUCCUGCUUUGCAACCGGCCUAUUUCAGCAGUAAGAAGAAGAGAGGUUGGCUGGCCCAUUUUGCAGAGAGAGAUGAACCGUACCUACCAUCGCAAUAAGCAAGCACAACCAUGUUUUGCUCUGCCUUUAGUAUUUAUAAAAGAUUUGAAUUUUGAGACUCUCAAAGUCACAGCGUGCUCUGUGACAUCACCUUCACCAUCACGGCGGAUUGACUUAUGUCAAUUUAUUGUUGUAUGGCUAGCUGAAUGCCCGUGAUUACUAAUGUGCUUUCAUGCGUGCAAUGCAACAACCUCUUGGGGCCUGAUAUUGGGGGCAACAAAUUUCCCCGGCCAUCGGGAAUUUAGAAAGCUUUGGGCCAAUGUGGUGGCAAGUUGUCUCCUGGAAUGACAUGUUUUUAGCUACU